UCCCAAGGCUAAAUACUCCCUAGUGACCGAUAGUGAACCAGUACCGUGAGGGAAAGGUGAAAAGCACCCCGGAAGGGGAGUGAAACAGUUCCUGAAACCGUGUGCCUACAAGUAGUUAGAGCCCGUUAAUGGGUGAUAGCGUGCCUUUUGUAGAAUGAACCGGCGAGUUACGAUUUGUUGCAAGGUUAAGCGGAAAAAGCGGAGCCGUAGCGAAAGCGAGUCUGAAUAGGGCGCAUAAGUAACAGGUCGUAGACCCGAAACCAGGUGAUCUACCCAUGUCCAGGAUGAAGGUAAGGUAAUACUUACUGGAGGUCCGAACCCACGCACGUUGAAAAGUGCGGGGAUGAGGUGUGGGUAGCGGAGAAAUUCCAAUCGAACUUGGAGAUAGCUGGUUCUCUCCGAAAUAGCUUUAGGGCUAGCCUCGAGGUAAAGAGUCAUGGAGGUAGAGCACUGUUUGGACUAGGGGCCCUUCUCGGGUUACCGAAUUCAGAUAAACUCCGAAUGCCAUGUACUUAUACUCGGGAGUCAGACUGCGAGUGAUAAGAUCCGUAGUCGAAAGGGAAACAGCCCAGACCACCAGUUAAGGUCCCCAAAUAUAUGUUAAGUGGAAAAGGAUGUGGGGUUGCUUAGACAACCAGGAUGUUGGCUUAGAAGCAGCCACCAUUGAAAGAGUGCGUAAUAGCUCACUGGUCGAGUGACCCCGCGCCGAAAAUGUACCGGGGCUAAACAUAUUACCGAAACUGUGGAUGAACCUCAUUAGAGGUUCGUGGUAGGAGAGCGUUCUAAGGGCGGUGAAGUCAGACCGGAAGGACUGGUGGAGCGCUUAGAAGUGAGAAUGCCGGUAUGAGUAGCGAAAGAAGGGUGAGAAUCCCUUCCACCGAAUAUCUAAGGUUUCCUGAGGAAGGCUCGUCCGCUCAGGGUUAGUCGGGACCUAAGCCGAGGCCGAUAGGCGUAGGCGAUGGACAACAGGUAGAGAUUCCUGUACCAGUGCUAAUUGUUUAACCGAUGGGGUGACACAGAAGGAUAGGGAAUCGCACGAAUGGAAAUGUGCGUCCAAGCAGUGAGUGUGAG
Molecule: ribosomal RNA, 1071 nt
Filed under: Listeria monocytogenes
Lineage: Bacteria; Bacillati; Bacillota; Bacilli; Caryophanales; Listeriaceae
Description: partial 23S ribosomal RNA
Rfam family: Bacterial large subunit ribosomal RNA
Source: RNAcentral